GUGCUCUCUUCAGCAGCACAUAACUAAUGUUGGAACUAUACAGAGAAGAUUAGCAUGGUGCCUGCACAAGGAUGACAUGCAAAUUCAUGAAUCGUUCCAUAUUUUU
This is a small nuclear RNA of Diceros bicornis minor, 106 nucleotides long. Lineage: Eukaryota; Metazoa; Chordata; Mammalia; Perissodactyla; Rhinocerotidae. The record is from RefSeq and is a predicted model, not a curated record.